AUGCGCGCCAUUGCAAUUGUAGCUCGCCCCGGUGGCCUGGUCCACUCUGAGGUCGCCGGCGUAGCCAGGGUACGCGCCCUUGCCGAAGACUCCUGGGCAGGCGGUGGCGGCCUCCAGCGGGGCAUCACUGCUGCCCUGGUAGUACCCGUCGCCGAACGGGUUGGUCGCCGCGCCGGCGAGCAUGCUCGCGAAGUUCAUGACCAUGGCGUCCGCCCCGACGUCGCCAUUGGGCGCCACGAGGGGCGCGUCCUGGGGGCCAUAGGCGGGCUGAUGGAAGGGCCACGCGCACGCGCCGGGACACUGCGUCUCCGGGUUGCCGACCCAGAUGUGGGUCGUGCCGGAGCUGGCGUCGGAGCCGUGCAGGCUGCAUCGGCCCAUGCCGAAGCCCUCCACCGUCACGUCCUGCGCCGUGAACACCACUGCGACGCCGCCUUUCUUGGGGCUAGCCGUCGCGGCCAGGGCGGUGAUCUGCUCGAGGGUGAGGGACUUGCCCAUGGAGCACUCGCCGUCCGAGAGCUGGUCCGCGAGCAGGACACGGGUCUUCUCGCUCGCGCCGUUGGAUUUGGCGCUCGCGGGGGACAGGUACUGCUGGUCGAUGGUGCUCCACCACUGCGCGACCGACGGCGAUGCGGCCUGAGGCUCGGCGGUGAGCGAGAGGAGGAAGUCGAGGAUCACCGCCUUCUGCGCCGGCUUGAAGUCGCCGUACCAGAGGACGGACACGGAAAUGUCGCCGUGGAGCACGGCACCGUUGUGGUAGGAGAGCAUGUUGGCCGGGUCCGGCCGGUACAGCUCCAUGCGCCGCCUCGCGCCCAUGCAAAGUUGUGCGGCGCUCGCAAGCAUCACCGCUGCAAGCAGCUCUGCCUUCGCACAAACGAAUGCCAUUUCAGAGGACUUGCGGUCGUGGUCGAAGAACAGAGUGUGGCUAGCUCGAAGCUGACUACAGAGACUGAUGAGAGAGCGGGAAAGAACUCGAUGAAUAUGUGUGAUGUGAUCGAUGCUGAGAUGUGA
This 1008-nucleotide ribosomal RNA is filed under the name Triticum aestivum (bread wheat). Its description in RNAcentral is "partial small subunit ribosomal RNA". Lineage: Eukaryota; Viridiplantae; Streptophyta; Magnoliopsida; Poales; Poaceae. The record is from RNAcentral.